Molecule: ribosomal RNA, 2432 nt
Filed under: Clostridioides difficile 5.3
Lineage: Bacteria; Bacillati; Bacillota; Clostridia; Peptostreptococcales; Peptostreptococcaceae
Description: bacterial LSU rRNA
Rfam family: Bacterial large subunit ribosomal RNA
Source: RNAcentral
AUGAUCCAGAGUACCACGGGACACGUGAAACCCUGUGGGAAGCAGGAGGGACCACCCUCCAAGGCUAAAUACUACCUAGUGACCGAUAGCGUAUAGUACCGUGAGGGAAAGGUGAAAAGAACCCCGGGAGGGGAGUGAAAUAGAACCUGAAACCCUGCACUUACAAGCUGUGGAAGCACAUUUCUUGUGUGACCGCGUACUUUUUGUAGAACGGGCCAACGAGUUACGUUAAGUAGCAAGGUUAAGCACUUAAGGUGUGGAGCCGUAGCGAAAGCGAGUUUUAACUGAGCGUUCAGUUACUUGACGUAGACCCGAAACCGGGCGACCUACCCAUGAGCAGGAUGAAGCGAAAGUAAAAUUUCGUGGAGGUCCGAACCCACGAGCGUUGAAAAGCUCGGGGAUGACUUGUGGGUAGCGGUGAAAUUCCAAUCGAGCCCGGAGAUAGCUGGUUCUCCCCGAAAUAGCUUUAGGGCUAGCCUCAAGGUGAGAGAUACGGAGGUAGAGCACUGAAUGUCCUAGGGGGUAUUGCACCUACCGAAGACUAUCAAACUCCGAAUGCCGUCAUCUUAUACUUGGGAGUCAGACUGUGGGUGAUAAGAUUCAUAGUCGAAAGGGCAACAGCCCAGAUCGUCAGCUAAGGUCCCUAAAUGUAAGUUAAGUGGUAAAGGAUGUGGGAUUGCACAGACAACCAGGAUGUUGGCUUAGAAGCAGCCACUCAUUCAAAGAGUGCGUAAUAGCUCACUGGUCGAGUGAUCCUGCGCCGAAGAUUUCCGGGGCUAAAACUUACUACCGAAGCUACGGCAUCAGUAAUGAUGGGUAGGGGAGCUUCCCAUACGGGUUGAAGCAUGACCGUAAGGACAUGUGGACAGUAUGGGAGUGAGAAUGUUGGCAUGAGUAGCGAGAUGUGGGUGAGAAUCCCACAGGCCGUAAACCCAAGGUUUCCAGGGGAAGGUUCGUCCGCCCUGGGUUAGUCGGGACCUAAGCUGAGGCCGAAAGGCGUAGGUGAUGGACAACAGGUUGAUAUUCCUGUACUACCGAUAACCGUUUGAGAGAAGGGAUGACACAGUAGGAUAAGCUAAGCACACUGUUGGUUAUGUGUGCCCAAGCAUUGAGGCAGUCAAAGUAGGCAAAUCCGCUUUGAUAAUGCUGGGAUGUGAUGGGGAGCGAAAUUUAGUAGCGAAGUAGCUGAUUUCACACUGUCAAGAAAAGUCUCUAUCGAGGUUAAAGGUACCCGUACCGCAAACCGACACAGGUGGGUGAGGAGAGUAUCCUAAGGCCAGCGAGAGAACUGUUGUUAAGGAACUCGGCAAAAUGACCCCGUAACUUAGGGAUAAGGGGUGCCACCAUCAGGUGGCCGCAGAGAAUAGGCCCAAGCGACUGUUUACCAAAAACAUAGGUUUCUGCUAAGUCGCAAGACGAUGUAUAGGAGCUGACGCCUGCCCGGUGCUGGAAGGUUAAGGGGAUCUGUUAGAGCAAUCGAAGCAGUGAACUUAAGCCCCAGUAAACGGCGGCCGUAACUAUAACGGUCCUAAGGUAGCGAAAUUCCUUGUCGGGUAAGUUCCGACCCGCACGAAAGGCGUAACGAUUUGGGCACUGUCUCAACAACAGACUCGGUGAAAUUGUAAUUCCGGUGAAGAUGCCGGAUACCUGCGACAGGACGGAAAGACCCCAUGGAGCUUUACUGUAGCUUGACAUUGGGUCUUGGUACUACAUGUACAGGAUAGGUGGGAGGCUUUGAAACCAGGACGCCAGUUUUGGCGGAGCCAUCCUUGGGAUACCACCCUUGUAGUACUGGGACUCUAACCAUAGGCCAUGAAUCUGGUCUUGGGACACUGUCAGGUGGGCAGUUUGACUGGGGCGGUCGCCUCCCAAAAGGUAACGGAGGCGCUCAAAGGUUCUCUCAGUACGGUCGGAAAUCGUACGUAGAGUGUAAAGGCAAAAGAGAGCUUGAUUGCAAGACAUACAGGUCGAGCAAGGAUGAAAAUCGGACUUAGUGAUCCGGUGGUUCUGCGUGGAAGGGCCAUCGCUCAACGGAUAAAAGCUACCCUGGGGAUAACAGGCUUAUCUCCCCCAAGAGUCCACAUCGACGGGGAGGUUUGGCACCUCGAUGUCGGCUCAUCACAUCCUGGGGCUGUAGUAGGUCCCAAGGGUUGGGCUGUUCGCCCAUUAAAGUGGUACGCGAGCUGGGUUCAGAACGUCGUGAGACAGUUCGGUCCCUAUCCGUCGCAGGCGUAGGAAAUUUGAGAAGACCUGUCCUUAGUACGAGAGGACCGGGAUGGACGUACCUCUGGUGUACCAGUUGUCCUGCCAAGGGCAUGGCUGGGUAGCUAUGUACGGAAUGGAUAAGCGCUGAAAGCAUCUAAGCGCGAAGCCAACUUCAAGAUAAGAUUUCCCACCGCAAGGGUAAGACCCCAGAAAGACUAUCUGGUUGA